This 72-nucleotide transfer RNA is filed under the name Camelus bactrianus (Bactrian camel). It matches the Rfam family "tRNA". From Rfam's summary of the family: Transfer RNA (tRNA) molecules are approximately 80 nucleotides in length. Their secondary structure includes four short double-helical elements and three loops (D, anti-codon, and T loops). Further hydrogen bonds mediate the characteristic L-shaped molecular structure. tRNAs have two regions of fundamental functional importance: the anti-codon, which is responsible for specific mRNA codon recognition, and the 3' end, to which the tRNAs corresponding amino acid is attached (by aminoacyl-tRNA synthetases). tRNAs cope with the degeneracy of the genetic code in two manners: having more than one tRNA (with a specific anti-codon) for a particular amino acid; and 'wobble' base-pairing, i.e. permitting non-standard base-pairing at the 3rd anti-codon position. The record is from Rfam by way of RNAcentral. Lineage: Eukaryota; Metazoa; Chordata; Mammalia; Artiodactyla; Camelidae. RNAcentral also lists the same sequence under 2 other names.
GAGAGUAUAGCUCAGUGGUAGAGCACAUGCUUAGCAUGCAUGAGGUCCUCGGUUCAAUCCCUAGUACCUCCA